RNAcentral lists this ribosomal RNA (586 nucleotides) under uncultured bacterium. RNAcentral describes it as "partial 16S ribosomal RNA". It matches the Rfam family "Bacterial small subunit ribosomal RNA", at positions 355 to 1375 of the family's 1533-position model. The record is from RNAcentral.
UGGGGAAUUUUGGACAAUUGGGCGAAAGCCUGAUCCAGCAAUGCCGCGUGUGUGAAGAAGGCCUUCGGGUUGUAAAGCACUUUUGUCCGGAAAGAAAUCCUUGGCUCUAAUACAGUCGGGGGAUGACGGUACCGGAAGAAUAAGCACCGGCUAACUACGUGCCAGCAGCCGCGGUAAUACGUAGGGUGCAAGCGUUAAUCGGAAUUACUGGGCGUAAAGCGUGCGCAGGCGGUUUGCUAAGACCGAUGUGAAAUCCCCGGGCUCAACCUGGGAACUGCAUUGGUGACUGGCAGGCUAGAGUAUGGCAGAGGGGGGUAGAAUUCCACGUGUAGCAGUGAAAUGCGUAGAGAUGUGGAGGAAUACCGAUGGCGAAGGCAGCCCCCUGGGCCAAUACUGACGCUCAUGCACGAAAGCGUGGGGAGCAAACAGGAUUAGAUACCCUGGUAGUCCACGCCCUAAACGAUGUCAACUAGUUGUUGGGGAUUCAUUUCCUUAGUAACGUAGCUAACGCGUGAAGUUGACCGCCUGGGGAGUACGGUCGCAAGAUUAAAACUCAAAGGAAUUGACGGGGUCAUAGCUGUUUCCU